This 508-nucleotide long non-coding RNA is filed under the name Homo sapiens (human). RNAcentral describes it as "HSALNT0301945". The record is from RNAcentral. Lineage: Eukaryota; Metazoa; Chordata; Mammalia; Primates; Hominidae.
CAGACUUUCUGAGUCUUCCAGCCUUUCUCCUGUAUUGAAUGCUUUUUGCCUUGAACAUCAGACUCCAAGCUCUUCAGCUUUUGGACUCUUGGACUUACACCAGUGGUUUGCCAGGGACCCUCGGGCCUUUGGCCACAGACUGAAGGCUGCACUGUCAGUUUCCCUACUUUUGAGGUUUUGGGACUCAGACUGAUCUGCCACUGGCUUCCUUGGUCCUCAACUAGCAGACAGCCUAUCAUGGAACUUUACCUUGUGAUGGUAAUAACGUAGAUGACAGGAAGAAAUAGCAUUUGAAAAAAAUUGCAUGCUUGAAAAAGUGGAACAAUACUAACCAGUGCCUAAGAGGGGCACAAAACUGUCUAUACUUUUUACACUUCAAUGGAUGUGAAAUAAUUACAUCUUAUGGAAUCAGAAUUUCAGAGUUCAAAGAAAUAUUAAUGGUCUUUCAGGCUACGAAUAAGAAAACUGAGAAGCAGAGUGGAAAUUCCUUUUAGCCAGCUUCAGGAGG